UGUGGUGUAACUCAGCGGUAGAGCAGUUGCCAGGCAUGCAUAAGGCCCUAGCUUCAACUCCUAGUACUGCAA
This 72-nucleotide transfer RNA is filed under the name Marmota monax (woodchuck). It matches the Rfam family "tRNA". From Rfam's summary of the family: Transfer RNA (tRNA) molecules are approximately 80 nucleotides in length. RNAcentral also lists the same sequence under 1 other name. The record is from Rfam by way of RNAcentral. Lineage: Eukaryota; Metazoa; Chordata; Mammalia; Rodentia; Sciuridae.